RNAcentral lists this ribosomal RNA (253 nucleotides) under uncultured bacterium. RNAcentral's name for it is "partial 16S ribosomal RNA". It matches the Rfam family "Bacterial small subunit ribosomal RNA", at positions 524 to 776 of the family's 1533-position model. The record is from RNAcentral.
UACGUAGGGGGCUAGCGUUGUCCGGAAUCAUUGGGCGUAAAGAGCGCGUAGGCGGCCAGAUAAGUCCGGUGUGAAAGUCAAAGGCUCAACCUUUGAAUGCCGCUGGAAACUGUCUGGCUAGAGUCCGGGAGGGGCGAGUGGAAUUCCUGGUGUAGCGGUGAAAUGCGCAGAUAUCAGGAGGAACACCAAUGGCGAAGGCAGCUCGCUGGAACGGUACUGACGCUCAGGUGCGAAAGCUAGGGGAGCGAACAGG